Molecule: long non-coding RNA, 3584 nt
Organism: Pipra filicauda (Wire-tailed manakin)
Lineage: Eukaryota; Metazoa; Chordata; Aves; Passeriformes; Pipridae
Exons: 5
Source: RefSeq, a predicted model, not a curated record
CUAGUGGAAGGUGUCCCUGCCCAUGGCAGGGGGUGGAAGGAGAUGAUCUUUAAGGUUCCUUCCAACUCAGACCAUUCUAUGCACUGUGAUGCUGCUGAUCCCAGAUGUUUCUGUCUCAGGAGCUGCAGGGAGAGGUCUGCAGCAUCCCAUUUGUCCUGCCCAAGAACAGGAGCUUCCCCAGCCACACAUGUUCCCACCAGAAACCAGGGUUUCAUCCACGCCACAGCCUGCAUGGGGAGAUGGAAGUGAAACCCCUGAUGUUUCUGAGCUGAAAAUGUCUUUUCUUUCUGUUCCAUAGGAAAUGUCACUGUUCACUUCUCCAUUCCACUGCAAGGGGAACAGAAACAGGUCCUGAAGUGUCUGGAUUUGCUGUGGAAGGAAGAUGCUGAUUUUUCUACAGGGAAUCACAUAGCAGAAGUAGCUGAAACCCAAGAAAAAAAUCCAGGCUUCCUCCUCUAUUCACAAGCCAGGAGUGAGCAGGAUUGUCGCUGGGAGGAGAUUCCGGGACACGAUCACAAGCAGAAAGAGUUGACUUUCCUCUGCCAAAGGCAGCCAGGGAGGACUGGAGUUUAUAGAGCAAUUCAGCAUCGGUGUUGGCUUUCCACCCCCUCAAAGCCCCGAGGAGGCUCCGCGCGGAGCUCGGGCGAUGUUCCGUCGAUAAUAAUGACUCAGCGUUUGGCCGCUCCGCGGGGCUGUGGAAAUAGUGCUCAGCGUUUUCAAGGAAGGGCCCUUUGGAUGCUUCCCCCCGGCACUGCUGGGCUCUGCUGCCCUGGCAGGGAGCACAGAGACGGGAAUGGCCCCGGCACAGCCCCCGGGGCAGCAGCCCCGCGGUGGAGCGAGGCCAGGGCAAGUGGGCAGGCUCAGCAGAAAAGAGGUGGAGGGGGAGCAUCCCGGAGGAGCGGCCGGGGCGGAGGAGCAGGAUAUGUGGGAGCACGGCAGAGCACGGGAGGAUGUCCUCACAGAGCCUGGCACGAGGAGCGUGUCCAUCUGCCCCAGGUGUGCAGGGCUGGGAAGGAGUUAAACGGAGCCACCCAGGCCCUGAAUGUCCAGUGUGAUCCAGGCCAUUUAAUUAGUGUCCCAUGCUCCGGGAGUUCGAUAGCGUUUUCCCCCCGGGAGGAGUGCACCGGCUCACAUAUAUUGCCUGUUAUCUUUCAAGUACUCUGAGCAGAAUGCUUUUUCAGUAACCUCAUCAAAGGAUAAGCCAGGAUUCAGAUAAGCUUUUCAAGGAGGAAGUCAGGGUUAUAAUUUUCAGAGACUUCUGAAUGUCACCUCCAAUUUUCGGCUCCGCCGUUGGAGCGGCCGUUUUUGGAAGCCACCCAGCCUCAGAUAUUGAAAUGGGUCACCUGUGGACUGGGGCCUCCUCAGUUCCUGGUCAUCGUCAGUCUGGCAGAUCCCGGAGUUGAAAGUGCCUGAGAUUUCUGACUUUAUAAUAAUGCGGUUUCUCAGAAGUGCAAAUUACAGAGGAAUUGGUGCUAAACUCCCCAUUAACUAUAGAGCCUGAGAAAUCCUCAGUGUCCCAAAUUACCUGUCACUUUCUCUGUAACGUGGCAUAAUUCUGUCACUUAACAAAAAAAAAAAAUAAAGGGUUGUAAUUUGAAAUUUCAGUGAAAUUCCUAAUUGAGGGUGUGACUCACUUCGUAGCAGGCUGUGCCCCCCCUCAGCUGCAGGGCAGGGGGUUUGCCAUCCCCUGGAUAUCAUGAUGCUCCCCAAGCCCCCAGGUGGGACCCCCCAGUGAUGGUUCCCCUUUCUGUGGUCUCUUUGGGGUGCUGGGAGCCAUUCUGCAGCACUCAGCCUCCAGAGAGAGCAGGGAAAAGGGGGGUUACAAGGACCCCCAAGAGUAGGGGGACAGGCUUGAGGGAGAAGGUGGCAGGAAAACUCCAGCUCAGGUUAAUGUCAGGGUUAAACCAGCUCCUGUGCCUCUAAAACACCUGUGUGUCACAGAGAAAUCAGCUUAUUAGAAGGUUUUGGAUAUGGGAAGGUGGAUGGUUUCCCAGAGUAGGAGAUGGAGGACAGAUACAGUCAGUGGCACCAACAGGCACGGAAGGAACGAGACUCUGAACUGUUGGUUUUUUGUGAAUUAGGUUUUGUUGUGAGCUGCAAACAACUUUUGGCUGCGUCUCCAAGGCCACAUUUUUAGCUUUCAUUCAUGACCAGAAGAUUUUCACCAAAAAUAACCUACUCUGAUUAAAAAGCACUUUGAGGUAAAUAUAGGGAGGGAAAAGCCAGGGAAGAGCAAUGACCAAAAUGUUUUCUUCUUUCACUGACACCUGCCAAAAGCUGAAGCUGGCUGAGGUGGUCCUGGCUGGGCAGGGCAGAGGAGCUGGGGUGGGUGAGUGUCCUGCCAGCUCCAGGCAUCGGUGUGAGCCCGAGCCAUGCCCAGCUCUGGGCACACCUGGCUCAGGUCUGGCAUUGCCCCUUCACAUCCUCCCUCCUCUCCCUCCCCUGGGAGGAAGAGCUCGGGCACAGGUAGCUCCCUUCCCUUGGGAGAGGGGCUGGGAAGCUGCAGGGGUUAAAAAGAAGUCAGCAGCAGCUCAGUGCCUUUUCUUCCCCUCUGGUUUUUUCUUCUUUUCCCCUCCUGGCUGAAUCAAUAAUUAAGCAUAUUCUAAGUAGUACAGUUUUGCUUGAAAUUUUCCAUUUGGCUUGGGCAUCAGUUGGAAAUGAAAUAUUUAGAGGACAGAAUAUAGUAAUAAAGCCAAGACACAUUUUCUGCUAGUAUAUUUUAUUUAUUUUGUUUAAUAAUGAGGUUCUGUGUCUGUCUCUACCCCCCUCCGUAUCAGUGGCUUUCUCCUCUUCCCCUUUCCUUCGGAGGCAGGAGAUAAUAUCCCCCUUUUAAAAAAAUAAUAAAGUCUGGCUUGUCUAACAAAUCAGGCCCUGUGCUCUGAUGUUGUAAGUGUUCAAAGGAGCUUCCCAGAAGGCUGAGGGAGGGGAGGAACCCAGCACUGAUGCUCCUGCUCCACUCAUCUGUCUGCAAGGACAAAGUGAAAGGGAUUCCUUUGCUUAAAAUUAUUUGUUCCCUGGUGCAAAACCUUUAAUAAUUCCCUGGGAAGGGAACGGGUCCUCGCCAUGUGGGAACACAGCCUGCUGUGCUCUGUCUGCCCUUGGCACCUCCACGUUUCCACUGUUAAAUGUAUUCUGGCUCAUCCUGGCCCUUUCCUCUGCUCUGUCAGUGGGGUCGAGAUGCUGCAGGAACAUAUUCCCUGGGGAAUGCCAGGAAUACAUCGCAGAUGCUGGCAGGAAAGCAGGGAGAAGGUGUGGAAUGCCCAGUGGUUGACCAGGGAAGGCUGUGAGACCUGACACAGCCCCAACCCUUCCCAUCCCAGUUCCCUUCCCCCAUGUAGGUGGGAAAUGCUUGUGCUGCCCCAUCAAACUCUUUGUGGCUUCAACCUUCCCCCCUCCCCUCCCCAUACUCCUGGGAUGUAAAAGCAAAUGUAAAUCCCUCAAAUAGAAAUGACUCCCAGGAAAUUCCGAUCAUGUACAGCGAAGUGCUUCAUCCCAACAGCUUCAAAAUGUUUCCCUCAGAUUUUGAUCUUUUCUUCAAAACCUGUUUACAGUUAAAAAAAAUAAAUAACUGUGUCUGUAUUUGA